This 2208-nucleotide long non-coding RNA is filed under the name Podarcis lilfordi (Lilford's wall lizard). The record is from RNAcentral. Lineage: Eukaryota; Metazoa; Chordata; Lepidosauria; Squamata; Lacertidae.
CGCGGCCGUUGCUCUCCGUCCGUCAGGUGAGGCGGGAUGCGGGUCUGGGAGGGUGUUCUCUUCGUCGUCCUCCUCUCCGCGCCCCGGGAGGAGUCGCCGCGGAGCUAAGGGUUCGGCCCGGUCUGUUUCUGCGCCGAGGACGGAGGCUGGGCAUUCUUCCGAGGAGGAGCUUCGCUUCUGCCCGCGGGUGAAGGAGGAAGCCUUCGUCCUCCCAGCUCCCGCCGCCACAGCCCAAGCCACUGAGGAGGCAGCUUUACUUCUGAGGAGACGCGCCUGCCAGGGUCGCCCGUGGUCAUUCGGCAACCCGACGCCGGCCGCUGUGGGGAAUGGCAGGACCUCGAGGGGGAAACGGCUGCCACUUCCCGUCUCCCAGCCUAAUGGAUCUGGUGCUGUGAAAAGUAAGCGCCUGCAGGAAGCUAGCUAUUGCUGUUAUUGUGUGUUAUAAAAAAGGCUCUAAUGCUGUUUUUGGCCUGUUUAAUAACCAUUUAAUCCACGGGCUCAUUUAUUAUUUUAUCUGUUUCGUAAGAUUUAUAUACCGCUAGAUUGUAAAAACGACCUCGAAGCGGUUUACGGGGGGGAGGGGGAAGGCAAAACAAUAAAAUCAAGAAGCAAUAAAUCCAGCCUUGUACCAAACCUGAGAUCACCUUUUUACAGCUGCAUAGGUGCAACACAUGCCAUUGGUUUGAGAAACAAUGUCUAGGUGGGCUUUAGAAGUGGCAGCUUUCAGGAUACUUUGGAGAUGGGGAAUUCAGUUUAGACUUUUUAAAACUUUGGCACAGGGACUUGAGCUCAAGACUUGUGUCUCAAUUCUGAGCAGGUCUCAAGGCUCAAAGCUAGAUACUGUACUGUGCAAAUAGCACUGAGAAACACGGGUGCCUGCUAAUUACUGUACGGUAUUAGACUCUGAGGACUAGUUUGACGCCCCCUAAUGGUGAAAACUAUCCUCACAGCACAGGACCCUUACUGUUACCGUUUUGUACUUGCUUUAAAGUUAUGGAUUUUUUAAUCUCGUAUUUAGGAUGCAAUCCUAAUCCUACCUGCCUACCUGGGGGUAAACUCCUACAGAACUCAGUCAUUUUCUUGAGUAGAAAUGCUUAAGAUUGCAGAAAGACAUUCCAAUUUUUGGUGACUUGUGUACUCCAGUUUUAUAUGAGACAUUUAGUAAUAAAUGGAUGCCAGCAAAAAUAUAUUUAUGCCAGGAGUCAAGUAUACUUAGAAUGGGUCAAAUUUCUUUUGAUAGAGGAUAUGUCACAAAACUCGUUUGUGUCUCGUGUCUGUAACAAACUGUUUUCUCAUGAUGAUUUAUAGCUGUAAUUGUGAACAGGGAUAUUUAUUAACAUCACACUGAUCUCAGUACUGUAUGUAAUAAAAUAUCUGCUGUAUUGAUUUGUAAAAUGAAGGCUUAUCAAUACCUGAGAGCAAAUAUUUAUCUUGUUGCAUACUAGAAGAUAAACUUCUACGAGGCCAUUGGAUAUCAACCCAUGUGACAUGUCUGAGCCAUGACUGAUUAUUUUUCUCUACCCAAUAAGGAAAUAAAAUGUUUUAAAUGUAUAAUGAGAAUGGUUUGAGUGCACAAUCAAUACAUUCAGUUGCAUGUGCUUUCAGGCUGGAGAAUGUGGAUUGAAGAGUUUUUUAUUUCAUUGUUUUCAACUAAAGAAUGCGUAAUUGUAUGCAGCACAAUAUUUACUUGUGAGUUUGUACUGAGCUAUUUUUCUUUUUUUUUUUGCGGGACACGGGUGGUGCUGUGGGUAAAACCUCAGCGCCUAGGACUCAGCGCAUGGCCGGCGGUUCGAAUCCCCGCGGCGGGGUGCGCUCACGUCGUUCGGUCCCAGCGCCUGCCAACCUAGCAGUUCGAAAGCACCCCCGGGUGCAAGUAGAUAAAUAGGGACCGCUUACCAGCGGGAAGGUAAACGGCGUUUCCGUGUGCUGCGCUGGCUCGCCAGAUGCAGCUUGUCACGCUGGCCACGUGACCCGGAAGUGUCUGCGGACAGCGCUGGCUCCCGGCCUAUAGAGAUGAGCGCAUAACCCUAGAGUCUGGCAAGACUGGCCCGUACGGGCAGGGGUACCUUUACCUUUACUUUUUAUUUUUCUGCUUUAGGCUGCAAUCCUAUAUUCAUUUACCCCCAGGUGAAGUCCUGCUGAACUCAAACUAGGUUUACUUCUGUGUAGAUUUGUAUAGGAUUGUAAUGUAAAUGGCAGAACUGUAAC